This 329-nucleotide ribosomal RNA is filed under the name uncultured eukaryote. RNAcentral describes it as "partial 18S ribosomal RNA". It matches the Rfam family "Eukaryotic small subunit ribosomal RNA", at positions 1470 to 1796 of the family's 1831-position model. The record is from RNAcentral.
CCCUUAGAUGUUCUGGGCCGCACGCGCGCUACACUGAUGCAUUCAACGAGUCUAAAACCUGCUCUGAUAGGGGUGGGUAAUCUUUUGAAUGUGCAUCGUGAUUGGGAUAGAUGAUUGAAAUUUUUCACCUUCAACGAGGAAUGCCUAGUAAACGCAAGUCAUCAGCUUGCAUUGAUUACGUCCCUGCCCUUUGUACACACCGCCCGUCGUUCCUACCGAUUGAAUGAUCCGAUGAAUAUCAUGGAUUGAGGAUGCAAGUAGGUUCACCUAUCUUCAUCUUCGAGAAGUGAAGUAAAUCUUAUCAUUUAGAGGAAGGAGAAGUCGUAACA